UCUCCUGGAAAACGGGUGGUAAUGCCGGAUGCUCCAUCACACCGCAUGGUGUGUUGGGAAAGCCUUUGCGGCAUGGGAUGGGGUCGCGUCCUAUCAGCUUGAUGGCGGGGUAACGGCCCACCAUGGCUUCGACGGGUAGCCGGCCUGAGAGGGCGACCGGCCACAUUGGGACUGAGAUACGGCCCAGACUCCUACGGGAGGCAGCAGUGGGGAAUAUUGCACAAUGGGCGCAAGCCUGAUGCAGCGACGCCGCGUGAGGGAUGGAGGCCUUCGGGUUGUAAACCUCUUUUGUUAGGGAGCAAGGCACUUUGUGUUGAGUGUACCUUUCGAAUAAGCACCGGCUAACUACGUGCCAGCAGCCGCGGUAAUACGUAGGGUGCAAGCGUUAUCCGGAAUUAUUGGGCGUAAAGGGCUCGUAGGCGGUUCGUCGCGUCCGGUGUGAAAGUCCAUCGCUUAACGGUGGAUCCGCGCCGGGUACGGGCGGGCUUGAGUGCGGUAGGGGAGACUGGAAUUCCCGGUGUAACGGUGGAAUGUGUAGAUAUCGGGAAGAACACCA
Molecule: ribosomal RNA, 556 nt
Filed under: Bifidobacterium breve
Lineage: Bacteria; Bacillati; Actinomycetota; Actinomycetes; Bifidobacteriales; Bifidobacteriaceae
Description: bacterial SSU rRNA
Rfam family: Bacterial small subunit ribosomal RNA
Source: RNAcentral